UUUCCUUCGCAGAGCAAUGCCCAACCAACAGACUGGUCAGGACAAAGUAGCAUUUUUUAAAUGAAAAGUAGUAUUGUUUCAAAAGAUUAGUGAGAAGCUGCCUUAAUAGAAGACAAUGGAUUUUUGUAUCUGUUUCUGCAUUCAGUUGGUUGCGAUAUGUUGUUUUGGUUGAAUUAUGAAGAAAAUCCAUCCCCACACAUAAUUUAGUUGGCAAAAGGAGGAGUAUUUCUAUAGCCUUUCCAGAUAACUGUGGUUAUUCUUCUUUGGUACUACACAAAGGUAACAAACGGUGGUUUUGUGAAAGUUAGUUGUAGUGUGGAAUCUGAAAUGAUAUCAGGUAACCGUUCAUACUUUGUUACAGUAAAGUCCGUUGGUCUAUCUUUUACUCUUUUUUUUUGCAUGACAAAGUCUUUACUAUUAAAUGUUUAUCAGUAUACCAAAUAAUAACAUGUAACAGUUCUUAAAUUCUAUCAUCUAGAAUUUUGAUUAAGAGAUACUAAAAGCAGCUCUAACAAUUAAACUAGAAUUCAUUGCCCUAACCUUAACGAGAAAAGACAAUUUUAAGACUGGUUGCUGCUUUACACAGAUUACAAACAACUACUUACUGCUUUUUCACAGAUAAAACCCUUGACCUUCCAGAAAGCUUUAGGGGGAAAAAUACAUAUAUUUAAUCCCUUUCUUUCUUUAAAAGAAAUGUUUCUUACUGUAUCUAAGAAAAAUUAGUAUUGUCAUAUAUAUAUAUAUAUUUUUUUUUUUUUUGCUUGGGCUAAAAGGCAUAGAAAAAACAGAUAAUGUAUGCCCAUUAAAUUUCUAAG
Phyllostomus discolor (pale spear-nosed bat) is the source of this 815-nucleotide long non-coding RNA. RefSeq lists it as uncharacterized. NCBI's taxonomy places the organism in Eukaryota, Metazoa, Chordata, Mammalia, Chiroptera, Phyllostomidae. The record is from RefSeq and is a predicted model, not a curated record. The transcript has 2 exons.